This 433-nucleotide ribosomal RNA is filed under the name uncultured bacterium. Its description in RNAcentral is "partial 16S ribosomal RNA". It matches the Rfam family "Bacterial small subunit ribosomal RNA", at positions 29 to 507 of the family's 1533-position model. The record is from RNAcentral.
AACGAACGCUGGCGGCAUGCCUAACACAUGCAAGUCGAACGAGACCUUCGGGUCUAGUGGCGCACGGGUGCGUAACGCGUGGGAAUCUGCCCUUCGGUUGGGAAUAACUGAGAGAAAUUUCAGCUAAUACCUUAUAAUGUCUUCGGACCAAAGAUUUAUCGCCGAGGGAUGAGCCCGCGUAGGAUUAGGUAGUUGGUGGGGUAAUGGCCUACCAAGCCGACGAUCCUUAGCUUGUCUGAGAGGAUGAUCAGCCACACUGGGACUGAGACACGGCCCAGACUCCUACGGGAGGCAGCAGUGGGGAAUAUUGGACAAUGGGCGAAAGCCUGAUCCAGCAAUGCCGCGUGAGUGAUGAAGGCCUUAGGGUUGUAAAGCUCUUUUACCCGGGAUGAUAAUGACAGUACCGGGAGAAUAAGCGCCGGCUAACUCCGUG